UUCCCUAUAGCUCAGAUGGUAGAGAAUCUGCCUGCAAUGCAGGAGACCCAGGUUCAAUUCUGGGUCAGGAAG
Bos taurus (domestic cattle) is the source of this 72-nucleotide non-coding RNA. The record is from Rfam. NCBI's taxonomy places the organism in Eukaryota, Metazoa, Chordata, Mammalia, Artiodactyla, Bovidae.